AAACGUCCGUAGCCGGUUUGGUACAUUCGUGGGUAAAUCAACCCGCUCAACGUCUUGAAUUCUGCGAGCACGGCCAGACUUGGGACCGGGAGAGGUGUGGGGUACUCUCAGGGUAGGGGUAAAAUCCUGUCAUCCUGAGAGGACCACCUGUUGCGAAGGCGCCACACUAGAACGGAUCCGACGGUCAGGGACGAAGCCUAGGGGCACGAACCGGAUUAGAUACCCGGGUAGUCCUAGGUGUAAACGCUGUGGACUUGAUGUUGGGAGUGCUCCGAGCACCCUCAGUGUCGAAGCGAAGGUGAUAAGUCCACUGCCUGGGGAGUACGGUCGCAAGGCUGAAACUUAAAGGAAUUGGCGGGGGAGCAC
Molecule: ribosomal RNA, 366 nt
Filed under: uncultured archaeon
Lineage: Archaea
Description: bacterial SSU rRNA
Rfam family: Archaeal small subunit ribosomal RNA
Source: RNAcentral